Molecule: ribosomal RNA, 381 nt
Filed under: uncultured eukaryote
Lineage: Eukaryota
Description: partial 18S ribosomal RNA
Rfam family: Eukaryotic small subunit ribosomal RNA
Source: RNAcentral
CAAUAGCGUAUAUUAAAGCUGUUGCGGUUAAAAAGCUCGUAGUUGGAUUUCUGUCAAGGACAACUGGUCCGCCCCUCGGGUGAGCACAUAGUUUGGUCUUGGCAUCUUGUUGGAAACUGUUGCUGCACUUGGUUGUGUGGCGCAGUGUCCAGCACUUUCACUUUGAGGAAAUUGGAGUGUUUCAAGCAGGCACAUGCCUUUGGACACAGUAGCAUUGAAUAAUUAGAUUGGGCUUUUGCUCCAACUUGUCGGUUUCUGGAGCUGAGGUGAGAAUUAAUGGGGAUUGUUGGGGGCAUCCGAAUUUAGCCGUCAGAGGUGAAAUUCUUGGAUCUGCUAAAGACGGACAACUGCGAAAGCGUUUGCCCAGGAUGUUUUCAUUGA